UACUCUGGCAGUGGCAGUUUUCAAAUUUAUUUAGCAAGAUGAAGAUCUUAAUAAUAUUGAUAUUGGCAAGCCUAGGUUACGUUGUAGGCUGGACAGUAAAAAGAGCCAUGCUUGAACAACAAAUACAGGA
Molecule: long non-coding RNA, 130 nt
Organism: Drosophila ficusphila
Lineage: Eukaryota; Metazoa; Arthropoda; Insecta; Diptera; Drosophilidae
Exons: 2
Source: RefSeq, a predicted model, not a curated record